CAUAUUUAAUUAUUUUUACAGCACGUUAACAUUCAUUAUUUUAAAAGUUUCAGGAUCACCAAACUAAUCCUACGUGUACCAUCUCUGGUUAAUGCCUUUUGUCUUCAAAUAAAAAUUAGUUUAAUGCUGUAGGACUGGACACGAUCAUUACAUCUCUGCAUGACAUAACCAUAACUUGAGCAAUUGUUUUGGGCCCACUAUAUACAGUUUUACAAGAAGAGGAAUGCUGGUCAUUAUUAGUUGUUCGAAUCGUCCCAAAAAUCUUUUGUUUUGGGAGUUUUUUUUUUUUUCAGAAAUUAGAUUUAUGUAUCAUUUUUUUUAUUUUCUUUAUUUCAGAUAUUAGAAUUUUAUUAUAUUAACACAAUUCAAGUUUUGCCCUUUUAGUAAAUUUGCAUGUUAGGAUUAGAAUAAAGGCAGGUAGAACCCUAAAUGUGAAAUGGUUGCUUAUUAUUAUAAAUUUUCUCAUUGAGAAUUCUGUGAUAAUUUUUUUCCUUUGCUUAGUUUUGCCCCCACACAAUCUCAACUAUAUAUGUCUUUUAAGUAGAUAUCUAAUCAUAUGAAAUAGCAUCUUAAUAUCAAAGUGCGUUAUAGCAUAAAACGGCUGGUGUUACGUUACGUUUAACGUAACGUACGCCACACACAGCAACAAUUGUGGAUCCCACCAUGGAAACUGUUGCUGUGUGUGGAUGUACGUUACGUUCGUUUAACGUAACGGGAUCCCCAUAAAACAUGUAGUAACAAAACAAGUUUAAUUUGAGGCAUCAUUAAUUAUGUACGAGGUAACCACAGAUCAUGACACGGCUUCAAAGGUUACGCAAGGAAGAACAUCAGUACCGUUGACGGUCUGAUUAUAAGAGAAACUUCAACUAUAAAAUCUUCAAUACUCAUUUAAAUAGUCAGAUUUGUGGGGUGAGUGCGUAUUAAUUGAUAUCAAACAGACAUUAUAUCAGGCAUAUAUAUAUAUAUACUCAUAUUGAAUCAGUGAUCAAUGUAAAUAUACUCGUAGCACCCAAAAUCUUUUCUUAGGACUCUCAUCAUAAUCCUCAUGUAUUGUGAUGUUAUUAUUCUCAAUAAAAAAUUUUUUGUUUUAUAUAAGAAGUCUUGAAAUCUAGAAUGCUACUUAUACCAAAACUGAGAGAGGGAUUUUUUUUGCAGGUUAAUUAUUAUAACUAUUUUAUUUGCAAACAAUGAAUUAUGCUCUUGUGAAAAACUGAAGCGAAUAAGGAGAUGAAAAAGGUUUUCUUUCUUUCGGAUAAAUCAACCGUCAAGUGCUCAAAUAAACAAAGAUGAGUAAGACUUAUAAUAGCUGAAUAGAAUUAAUUAUUCAAUCAUUGAAUAAGAGACAUGCAUAAUACAUGGCUCAAUGCCCAUGUCCGUCAUGGGCGUUUUAUUUACUUACUAUAAUUAAACUAUAUAUGGUUGCCAGGCGCCUUAAAUUCAUUUGAUUGUAUAUAUAUCACCAUCCUUAGUAAGCUUUUGCCAUUUCAUGGCUAGAGUGAUGGCUUUUGAUCUUCAUCAUGGUGGUCAUGGUUCUUAUUAUUGAUUUUAUAUACAUGCACACAUUUAGCAAGGAGUUACACACACACACACACGCGCACACAUGACCAUAUUGCAUACGUUUUUGCAUUUUUCUGUUUUCUUUUAAUCGGUCCAUUCUUGUUCUUACACUUUUAUAUAUAUGCAUAUGGAAUAUGCGUUAUUAUUGGGGAAUCGAAAACGUAGAUAUAUAAUACUAUAAUAGAUGGGGAAUCAUGUUGUCUGCCGCAAGAACCAUUGAUCACUUGAGAGAAUCUGACCCUAAAGAAUAUAUUUUGUUUGCAUGACAGCAUGAGGCGAAAAGAAAGAUUAAAGUUGGACGCAGCCUGCCGGUUACGUAAAAGAAAAUUGCAUACUCGUUUAAUUUGCAUCGUGAGAAAAAAAUAUCACAUAUUUUUAGUUAAUUUUUUUAAUAAAAAAUAGUGAUUUUCUUAUUAUUUAUCUAAGUAUUAAUUAAAAUGUUGGAAAUAUAAGUUUUAAUAUUUAAGUCAUGAAUUUACACAUUGAAUAAUAAGUGUGUCGUAUGAGUGUUCAAAAUAAUUAUAUAAUGUUAACUUGUAAAAAAUUAUCUUUAAUAAUAAUUCAUAUGAUGGACAUUUUUAUAACAAAAUUUUAUUAGAAUUAGAGUUUUUAAAAUGUAAAUAAUAUCCACCUAAUUAAAAAGAAGAAAAAAAAAGACUCACUGAAUUUAAUAAACUCUACAAACUCACCAUUAAAACUUGAAAUUUUAAUUCUUACUCAAUAAACCCGACGUAAUGCCCAAUAUCCCACUAAAUUGAAAAUAUUAAUAUAAUUCCCUGAAAUUAAAUCUCUGAAUAACUACUAUCCUAUUUCCUUCAAAUCCUUUCUGUCUAAUAGGAAAGUUUGAUUGAAUUUGACUGAAAAUUUCUUCCUUUUAAUUUUGGCCUAUUAGAAGCUAAUGUCAAUCUAAAUUUCGUCUCGAAUUCAUAAUUUGGUUACAAAUUUAAAAUUACGCCUGUAAGCUAAAUGGUAAAAGUACUCAUUUCUUCAAGUACCAAGAUUUUGACCUAUUUUUUCUUCUUUUUUUUUUCAAAUAAUCACUACUCUACCUACUCACUUCAACGUUUCACAUAAUUUUUAUUUUUAACCGACAUGUUUUUUUUCAAUCCAUUCUAAUUUCUCAGAUAAUACCCUCAUAGACGUCCUAUUUCUAAUUCCGAAUCCAACAAACAAUUGAGUUGAGUUGGUAACGUUGUACGUACAUUUUUUUUUUCAUUAUGUUAUACAGAUUUAUAAUUUACAAAAUUUUAUUUUUUUUGUUAGAUUAGGCUUUAAAAGUUGGGCUUAUAGAAUUUAAAACUUU
Molecule: long non-coding RNA, 2860 nt
Filed under: Citrus x clementina
Lineage: Eukaryota; Viridiplantae; Streptophyta; Magnoliopsida; Sapindales; Rutaceae
Description: Citrus clementina (C. clementina) long non-coding RNA (CCLE_LNC003836)
Source: RNAcentral